This is a long non-coding RNA of Cavia porcellus (domestic guinea pig), 3479 nucleotides long. RefSeq lists it as uncharacterized. The record is from RefSeq and is a predicted model, not a curated record. The transcript is spliced from 2 exons. Lineage: Eukaryota; Metazoa; Chordata; Mammalia; Rodentia; Caviidae.
GACAACCUGGGCAUCAGGUUGGGGAUCAGAGACGGCAGGCCGCGUGGAGCUGCGCCUCCCGCGGGUCGCCCUCCGCGCUCACCCUCAGCGGCGCCGACGCCUCGGUCACCUUUCCCUUGGUGCUCCCGGCCAGGACCUGAGGGAGCAGACGAACACAGCUAGGCUCAGCGGGGCGAGAGGCACCAGAGUGGGUCGCUCUACAGCUUGUCCCGCCCAACCCGCUUUAUGUUUCCUGUCCGGGAAGAUUAAAGAGAGCGUUUUUCAAGCACGCACCGCACCGCAGGGGCUCGCUGUGAUGGGAACCUGAGGGACUCUUCUGGGACCAGAGGUCAACGGCCUGUGACUGUUCGGCUUUAGGCUCCCUCUGAGCCUCAGUUUCCCUGUGAGCUCAGUAAAAGCUUACUCACCACCUGCUGGUUGGCUGCGAGCUCAAACGUGAACCUCUGCACCCUGCGCUGCCUCUUCUGGAAGAGGAGAGAUCCGCGAUUGUUGCGCAGCGACAGCUCUUCUAUCAUCAGGUCCUGGGGCACGCUCACCUUCUUCCCCAGGUCCAGGGAAGGUUCUGCACGAGAGGUCGGGCGAGCGCUCACUACGUAUCCCCAGGCCUUCCUGGCCAUGGCCUCUGAAGCCCUGGGAAGAGCCCGGAGGGUGCUGUGUCUCCCCAGUCGCGCUGAACUGGGGAUCAUCGUUCUUUAGAAUCUUUGCCCAUCGGAGGGGCAAAAAUGGUACCUUUGCCAUCUGCUUGAUGUUCGGUGAAGGUUAGAGUUGUUUCAGAGGUUCUUUGGCCAUUUUUUUAUUCCAUAAUUAUUCUCCCUAGCUCAUUGCCCAUCAGGAAGCUAAGGAGAAAUAGUCAGAUUUUGAAUACUUUUCUUAAAAGUUAGACACAGGCGUGAGGUAUGAGAGAAACAGAUGGCACUUUUUGACACUAGUGAAUGACUUCAUGGAAGACAAUUUUCCACGUGAGAGGGCGGUGAGCAGGUCAGAAUUAGAUUCUCUUGAGGCGCCAGCAACUUAGAGCCUUCGCAUGCAUAGCUCAAAGUGUACAGUAGGGGGCGCUCUCCUACGAGACUAACACAGUGGCUGACCUGAUUGGAGGCAGAGCUCAGGCAGAGGUGGGGACCACGGGGGACAUGGAGGAUUUCUAGAGCUCCUGACUGUCCUUAGUGGUUUGGGAUCCAUCCCCUACCUUUGUGCUUUCCACGCUAGGAAAAACUCAUGCCUUUACAUCUGACCAUCAGGGAAGCUUUUCAGAGGGCUGGAGUGACAGGAUAAUGAAGACCUUGACAGGAGAGGCUACUUUGUGGGCAGCGUGGCCAUGUUGCCCAUCCUCUAAAAUUAGAUACAGGACUAGGAAUAUAGCCCACUGGUAGAGUGCUGCUGGCUUAGCGUGUGCAAGUCCCAGGGUUCAAUCCUCAUCACAGCAAGAAAAGUAAUUUAAUUAAUUAAAGUGCACACAGGUUGAUUGCCAGCUCUAUAAAUGGUCUUUUAUGCUGGAAAAGAACAAGAAGAAAGGAGAAUAAAUAAUGAGACCCCCACACUGAGUGCCGAGCCCUCCAACAUUUAGACUGAGGAGAGAAGCCAGCCCCAGAGGCUGGGAAGGAGCAGUCAGUGAGCUGAGAGGAAAUCUCAAGAGGGUGGCAUCCUGGACACCAAGUGCUGGGUUUCAGGGCUGACAGAGUGACAAUGGAAUUAAAUGCUGCUAUGUCAAGUCGAAUGAGGGCUGAACAUUGACUGUUGGAUAUAGUAACACGGGGCUAUAAUAAUCGUCUUUAAGUUUCUGUAGAGAAUUUGGGUGUGAACACCUGUUGGAAAGGGUUCCAGAGUAAACAGGCAGGGAACAAGUUGAAAUUCAUAGUGCAGGGUAGUCCACGGGGCAACUGGCCCGGCUUUUCCUAACAUGUGAAUGACAUGAAAAUAAAGGGCAGAUGUGUUAUUUCAGAUUAAAGGAGAUUUAAAGAACAUAGCAACCAAAUAACAACACUGGCCCUUGUUUGGGACCUGAUUAAAACAAACUGGAAAAUUGGACAACUCUACUAUGAGAUUGGUUAUUGGAUAUUAUUAAAUCAUUGCUGCUAAUUUUGUUCAGGGUGCACCUAUUUUUGUGGCGUGCAAGGAAACAUCCCUUUCUAUUACUUUGAAUGCAUGCUGAGGAACUUGGGGAAUAAAAUGUCAUGUCCCUUGAUUUUAGUUCUGGGAUCCAGGCAUAAAAGAAGGACCUUGGAGAUUUCUAUGCUCCACUUUUGUGUGUAUUUGACAUAGGCAUGAUAAAAUGUUUAAAAAGAGGAUGGGGAGAAAAAUACAGAUCACUACUUGGGGGCUGUGCUUUCAAGGGCUGCGGCUGCAGCAUCUGUGGGGUCAAGAGGAGCUCUUUGUAAAGAGAUGAUGGCAUGUCUGCUGGUGAUGGGAACACUGGACAGCAACUGGAGAAAGGAGGAUUGUGGAAGGAACAUCUUUGAGCCUAGGGGAGCAGGCAAGGUGUAUCAUGUCCAGCUAGAAGGGUUGUCCAGACAGAGGUGAGAAUAGCCUGACCACCCUCACAGGCAGGAGAACAACAUAAAGUGCAAGCAAGUAGGCAGACGUGGCAGAGGACACUUGAAGAUGCUCUGUUUCAGUGACCUUGUUUUUCCCAGUGAAGCCAGGAGUAGGAUCAUUAGCUGGAAAUGAAGAUGUGGAAGGAGGUAGUGGAAGCAGGGAGAGAGGGGCAAAGUUGUCAAGGUCAGCUGAGCAGCACUGACCAGCCCCGGGCCAGGGACAGGAACUUGGCUACUAAAGGUGCUAAGGUGCCACAGGUGCUGUCACGGUUCAUCACAUUCUGUGGAGCCCUAAGCAGCCACUAAGAAAAGGAGGCAGACUUGUUUUUCCCAUGCUUCCAACAAAUACAAAAAGAGCGUUUUGUAAAUGCUAAGAGCAUACAGAUAGCUACUGUACUCUGUAUGUGUUGAAGUGGAGGAGGAGCACACAUUUCAGGAGAAUAUGAACUCUUAAGAUUCCAUUGGUAAUUAACAAUGGAUAUAUGUGCAUGGUUUUAAAGGUUUGGCAAAGAGACAUGCCAAAUGUUAGCAGGGACUGUUUAUGACAUGCAGAAAGGAAAAGGGCUGGGAAUUGUUUGUGCAGUUUGUUGUUGUUUUUGUCUUUUUGAGACAGGGUCUCUCUAUGCAGUUCAAUCUGGCUUUGAGCUCACUUUGUAGCCUCAGCUGGUCUUAAACUCACAACAAUCUUGCUCAAGUUCUGGGAUUACAGGCAUGAGCCACCAUGCCCGGCUGUAGUUGUUUUUAACAAGAAAGUGUACUGAAUUCUUACAAAUAUGAAAGAACACUUGAAGACAUAAUAAAAGCCCCUCCCCAUGAUAUUCUUAAUUACUGUGCAGAUGAACUGAGCUCAUUAGCUUUUUUUUUAAAGAUAAAAUCUGUUUGACUAAUUCUAUUUCUAGGAAUUCAUUCUUAGGGAAGGAGUUGAAUAAAUAUAUGCAAGGAAAUUGA